GCCCGCUGCUGCCGCUGGUGCGGCGGCUGGCGGGACCGAAGACGCCAUAGUCUCCCGCGCACCCGACCGAGUACAAGCAGGAGCCGGUAAAGGGAGCAAGGACUCUUUCCUUUGAAGGACUCACAAGCCCCUGUAUCCUGUAUUUACCAGCUGGCAAUCAUGCUGAACCUCUUUCCCAACUUAGAAAAAGCCAGAUGAUGGGCAUCCCUGAUGCUGAAGGUUCCUAUCUUCCAUCCAUAAAAAGGUUGUACUCCCAGCACUCAUGAUGACAUCUACUCACCAAUCUGGGCAGAAUGGCCCCUCUUUCCAGAGCUCUUGUACCGAACAGCUUCCUUGAUGCGGUCUACCUCCUGCUGGU
This is a long non-coding RNA of Marmota flaviventris (yellow-bellied marmot), 358 nucleotides long. RefSeq lists it as uncharacterized. Lineage: Eukaryota; Metazoa; Chordata; Mammalia; Rodentia; Sciuridae. The record is from RefSeq and is a predicted model, not a curated record.